AAUUAACUUAGUUUAAUUAAGUUACAAAAAAAAAAAACUCUUAAUUUAAUUACAGAAAAAAAAAUUUCAAAUUUUUUAUUCAAUUAACUUAAUUUUGUAUCUUUUUAUUCUUAUAUUUUUAAGAAAUAUGAGUAUUUAUGUUAAUAACAUAAAUUUUGAGAAAAAAAAAUUCAAUUUAAUAGCCGAAUUUUUUAUUUCGAAUUUUUAAUAGAUGAACGUAUAAUAUCCGUAUAAAUCACAUAUCCGAAUAAUUGACGAAUCUAUUUUUUUAGCCGUAUUUUUUAACGAAUUUAAAUAUUAGAAGAUGAAUUUUAUCCCAAUUAUAUUUGUACCGAAUUUUUGCCGAAUCCGAAUUAACUGACUAUGGUCUAAACUCUAAACUCUAAC
RNAcentral lists this long non-coding RNA (387 nucleotides) under Ananas comosus (pineapple). Its description in RNAcentral is "long non-coding RNA (ACOM_LNC042767)". The record is from RNAcentral. Lineage: Eukaryota; Viridiplantae; Streptophyta; Magnoliopsida; Poales; Bromeliaceae.